CUUAAGACAUCUUUUUAGGGUCCUGAAAUUACAUGCGCCAAGCACCUGUUACAUGGCUUCUUUGAAGGUUAAUGAAGCAGAAAAAUGGAGUUCAAAUACACGGAGAGAAAUAUAAUGAAGGAAAAAGAGGAAUAGACUAGCCUUUUAGAAGCACAUAGUGAAAAAACAUCUAAUGAUCUUUUAUUGUGUUGACAUGUAUUUUAGGUUUAAAAAGAAACUAUUAGAGUCAAUCAUUAUAUUAUGUUUUACAACCCUUACCUAUUUUAGGCCUCCAAACCGUUUUUACCUGUGAUUUAAAAAAUAACUUAGAACUGCACUUCUGCCAUUCACUGGAGCUGAUUUGCACUCUGAACUCUGUUCUAACCUAAUCAGGGCCCCACUUUCUCAUUGGGUAACCAAGCAAAAACAUGAAAGCGGUGAGUUGUACACAAAGACACAUGAGGGCCAAAUUGUCUUAAGUUUCCAGAAUGGCCAGUGAAGAUGGCAGCAACUUCUUGCUACAUUUUGAUGGAUCCCUGGCAUGGAAAAGCAAGAUGAUCCCUUAUCCUAGAACUAUGUACUGUCCAACAGUGGCAUCUUUGUGAUAAGAUGUUUCCACUUUCAAAGGAAGCUAUGCAGGCAGCUUCCAGAAUCCUGUGUAUCAAAGUAUUUCGGUUGGUGCAAAAGUAACCGUGUUUUUUGCCAUUAAAAGUAAUGAAAUCAUUUUUAGGUUGGUGCAAAAUUGUGGUUUUUAUCAUUCCUUUUGCACCAACCUAACAAAACACGAAACACAUCAUUUGAUAAGAUACAAAUAUCAAGCCUGAACUUAAUUAAAAAUGCUUACAAUGUGACCAAUUUAGAGACUAUCUUAUGAACAAGAACAGACAUCUCUUAUGGAAAUAAGAGCUUAGGUUUAUAUGGAUUUAAACUUUUUGAAGCAAUUUUACAUUUUAUUGCAUUUGAUUCUUCUAUCUGUGAGGAUUGUUGUAAUGACAAACCACAGAGAAUAUCAUUGGCUUAAAACAGCACGGGUGUUAUUUCUUGCUCAUGUUACUUUUCAUGGAUCACCUGAGGAGAGCCACUUGCCCUCUAUUACCCUCACUCAGGUAUCCAGGCCAAGGGAAGCUCCAUCUCUGUGCUUCUGUGAUUGCGAAGUCGGGGAAAGGGAGCAUGCUGAGUGGUACACUAGCUGUAUCUUCUUGAAAGUGAUUCAGGUCACUUCUGCUCAUUGUUUGUGAGCCAAAGCAAGUCCCAUGGUUCCUUCUUCAAAGGAAGUGAGGAACUUAAACCAGCUCUAUUCCUUUCUUAACAUCCUGUUGUGAAUUGUUAGAUGAUGGGAAUAUACUCUUCAAGAUGAACAUGAAGCACAGUCAUGAUACAAAAAUCAAACUAUUAAGUGGUGCACCCCAGCCUGAUUCAGUAGGAAGGGAUUUCUGGCCUACAGCAUAGGAGGUCUCCAUGACUUUUGUAGUAUGGAGUGGAAAGAUGGGUAGGAUGGGAGUUGGGAGGCUCUUUUUACCAAAAGGCAGGACAGU
Molecule: long non-coding RNA, 1514 nt
Filed under: Homo sapiens (human)
Lineage: Eukaryota; Metazoa; Chordata; Mammalia; Primates; Hominidae
Description: HSALNT0212069
Source: RNAcentral